RNAcentral lists this non-coding RNA (95 nucleotides) under bovine gut metagenome. RNAcentral's name for it is "THF riboswitch". It matches the Rfam family "THF (Tetrahydrofolate) riboswitch aptamer". From Rfam's summary of the family: THF riboswitch presents a pseudoknot that joins P1-P2 and the loop of P3 and two THF binding. The record is from RNAcentral.
GCAGAGUAGGAUCUUGUGCGUUAAGUGCCGCCCGAACGGGGAGUUGUCGGGAGGACGAAAAGAGUUCUUGCGGUACAAGAUCCGCAUCCCGCUGC